Molecule: long non-coding RNA, 806 nt
Organism: Lathyrus oleraceus (garden pea)
Lineage: Eukaryota; Viridiplantae; Streptophyta; Magnoliopsida; Fabales; Fabaceae
Exons: 2
Source: RefSeq, a predicted model, not a curated record
ACUCCAAAACAUGAGUGUGGGCCGAGACGGAACGAGCUUCAGUGACUUUAGUGGGGAAAAGUUACCGUAACUUUUAUCUAACAUCCACCAUAAGAUCAAUCUAGGUUUCACAUAAAAGCCACGUAGUUUUCUCUUUUUCAUAAAAAACAUAUGUUUUGUUUUGUUUUGUUUCGGGUCAAAUGGAAACAUGGAAGGGGAAGACCGGUCCAUUCUUCUCACGCCGCCGCCACCAUUAAAUAGAAAUAUUGAAUGGUCUCAUCUCGUGUCAUCAUUAUGUUCUCCGGCACCAUCCCGUCUCUUAUUGUCGCCACCAACGUGCUCGUACUCGCCAUCGUCGUUUCUUUUCGCCGCCACCAACAAUGGAGUUAAUUUCAAGGCCGCUCGAAUGUGCAUGUUGUUGCUGCCAUGCCGGUGGGUCUAAAUUCACGGUUGUUUUUUAUAUUAUAUUGUUUUGAUGAAGCUGAUGAGCACGUGAAAAUUGAAUAUUGAACUUACUACAUUAUUUUUGAUGUGUUAUUAUUUUAAAAAAGCUUCUAAGCACAUGUCUUCACAACUCUUUCCGCAAGGAUGUUCACAAUAGAUGCAAAUAUACAUCAAGGUAACUCUGCAAAAUUAGAUUAUUAGAAUUAUAGAAUAAUAUGACAUGUGUAAUUUAGUUAGAGGACAUGAUGAAUUGUACAUCUCUUGUGGCAUUAUUUUUUAUCAGUGUAAUUGUGUAACAUUUCCUAUACUGUCAUUUUGUAAUAUUUCUUGUACGGUCAUUUUAUUACAUUUUUGGAUAUAAUGAAAUAAGGUCAUUUGCUUCA